AAGGGAGGAAGUUCGAUUAAAACCGCCACAAAGCAUGAGCAACAUCGAACUACCCACGUUGCGUGGG
This 67-nucleotide small RNA is filed under the name Virgibacillus necropolis. Its description in RNAcentral is "Bacillaceae-1 RNA". It matches the Rfam family "Bacillaceae-1 RNA". Lineage: Bacteria; Bacillati; Bacillota; Bacilli; Caryophanales; Bacillaceae. The record is from Rfam by way of RNAcentral.